GGAGCUGACACAAGUCCUAUUUAGAUACAGAGAAGGAGUUUUGGAGAUCAGUCUUUCAGCAGGACUUUCUUCAACAAGGUGAUCUUUUUCUCCCACGGCUUUCUGCCACAGCUGGAUGAAGUCUUUGUGAGGAUACAUAUUUUUAAGAAAGUAUCCCCUCCCCCUGCCCAUGAACUAAACAUGCUGAUAAUCAAUCUGACGUCAGGUGGAGCAUCCAGAAGAAACUCACACUUGCUGUCAGUGCUAGCUCUCACUUCUGC
Long non-coding RNA from Girardinichthys multiradiatus, 260 nucleotides. RefSeq lists it as uncharacterized. The record is from RefSeq and is a predicted model, not a curated record. NCBI's taxonomy places the organism in Eukaryota, Metazoa, Chordata, Actinopteri, Cyprinodontiformes, Goodeidae. The transcript is spliced from 3 exons.